Molecule: non-coding RNA, 359 nt
Organism: Cicer arietinum (chickpea)
Lineage: Eukaryota; Viridiplantae; Streptophyta; Magnoliopsida; Fabales; Fabaceae
Source: RefSeq, a predicted model, not a curated record
AGAUAUUUUGGCAAAGUCAAUGUGCAUUCGUCUAAUUUGAAGGUGGUUAAUCCCUAGCCAGCUGGUGAAGAUACAGCAAUGUGCAAAAUACGGGCCAACACUGCAAAUACAGAACAAUAACUAAUUAUUCUCCCCAGUCCCUCCCUUUGUAUUUUAUGUUGUUAUGGUAUUAAUAAUGUAUAGAGGAUGGUGUGUGUGAUUGUUGAGAUUCAAACUUUGCCUUUUUUCCAUAGAGUUAGAACUGAUACUUGCUUAUUAUGUUUUCACUUAUUUGCAAAACUGUCAACACAUGCCAAAAUUAUAUCAUUUUUAGUUAUAUGAAUUAUUGGGAAUGAGUAAUGCUAGUCCUUGAGAAUCAA